RNAcentral lists this ribosomal RNA (411 nucleotides) under uncultured prokaryote. RNAcentral describes it as "bacterial SSU rRNA". It matches the Rfam family "Archaeal small subunit ribosomal RNA", at positions 65 to 482 of the family's 1478-position model. The record is from RNAcentral.
UGCCGCAAGGCAAGCCGCAAUGCUCAAUAACACGUGGUCAACCUGCCCUCAGGUCGGGGAUAACUCCGGGAAACUGGAGAUAAUACCCGAUAGGAGAUGGAUACUGGAAGGUUCCAUCUUCGAAAGCUUCGGCGCCUGAGGAUGGGACUGCGCCGGAUUAGCUUGUUGUCGGGGUAACUGCCCGACAAGGCGAUAAUCCGUACGGGUUGUGAGAGCAAUAGCCCGGAGAUGGACUCUGAGACAUGAAUCCAGGUCCUACGGGACGCAGCAGGCGCGAAACCUUCGCAAUGCCUGAAAGGGUGACGAGGGGACUCUGAGUGGCUUCGCACUGCGAAGCCUUUUGCCGAGUGUAAAAAGCUCGGCGAAUAAGUGGUGGGCAAGACAGUUGCCAGCCGCCGCGGUAUACUGCGC